CGCCGAGAGGCUUUUUGGCACAAGCCUGUGGAAAUCGAAUCAAGGGUUUCUGGAGUGGAGUGAUUCCAGCUGCUUUGAGCUGAAGGAAAAGUAGCCUGGCCAGUAAAGCGUCCGUGUGCUGGAGGAGUGCAGCCACCCAUCCCGGCGGGCCUUGCAGGACGACCGACACCAGGAAGGCUUUGUGCCAGGCCCAGCAGCCACCCCCAGCCGCCUUAUGCAAGUGGGUACAUGCCCUCGCCAGACGCCAGCUUUCUGAUCUGCGUCUUUAGAUUUUUUCCAUCGCCUAAGCGUUACUUCUCCACUGAUCGGUGAGUUUAGUGAUGGCCAGAGCUCGCUGGAGGACAAUGGACUUGGAUAACCAAA
Molecule: long non-coding RNA, 363 nt
Filed under: Pan troglodytes (chimpanzee)
Lineage: Eukaryota; Metazoa; Chordata; Mammalia; Primates; Hominidae
Description: long non-coding RNA NONPTRT011967
Source: RNAcentral